This 99-nucleotide small RNA is filed under the name Notechis scutatus (mainland tiger snake). RNAcentral's name for it is "7SK RNA (ENSNSUG00000007679.1)". It matches the Rfam family "7SK RNA", at positions 4 to 105 of the family's 331-position model. Rfam says of the family: 7SK was discovered as an abundant small nuclear RNA in the mid-70s but a possible function has only recently been suggested. Two independent studies have found that 7SK RNA binds the CDK9/cyclin T complex (known as elongation factor P-TEFb). The record is from Rfam by way of RNAcentral. Lineage: Eukaryota; Metazoa; Chordata; Lepidosauria; Squamata; Elapidae.
UGCGAGGGCAAUCUGGCUGCGGUAUCUCUUACCUCAUUGAUCACCAGGGUUGAUUCAGCUGUUCUGGCUGGCUAGAAGGGGACUCUGUGGCCUAGCGGU